GAUGAACGCUGGCGACGUGCUUAACACAUGCAAGUCGAACGGAAAGGCCCAAGCUUGCUUGGGUACUCGAGUGGCGAACGGGUGAGUAACACGUGGGUGAUCUGCCCUGCACUUCGGGAUAAGCCUGGGAAACUGGGUCUAAUACCGGAUAGGACCACAUUUUGGAUGGUGUGGUGGAAAGUUUUUCGGUGUGGGAUGAGCUCGCGGCCUAUCAGCUUGUUGGUGGGGUAAUGGCCUACCAAGGCGUCGACGGGUAGCCGGCCUGAGAGGGUGUACGGCCACAUUGGGACUGAGAUACGGCCCAGACUCCUACGGGAGGCAGCAGUGGGGAAUAUUGCACAAUGGGCGCAAGCCUGAUGCAGCGACGCCGCGUGGGGGAUGACGGCCUUCGGGUUGUAAACUCCUUUCGCUAGGGACGAAGCGUUAUGUGACGGUACCUGGAGAAGAAGCACCGGCUAACUACGUG
This 466-nucleotide ribosomal RNA is filed under the name uncultured bacterium. Its description in RNAcentral is "partial 16S ribosomal RNA". It matches the Rfam family "Bacterial small subunit ribosomal RNA", at positions 28 to 507 of the family's 1533-position model. The record is from RNAcentral.